GUCUUUGGAUACAGCGUCUCUCUCAUUUCUUUUCCUUCCUUCUCGCUCUUUCUUCCACACCCUCUAAUGUCUCAUGCAUGGUCCCCAUCUUGGGUCUCUCUCUGUGGCAUCCUAAGUUUUCCAGAUAAAACGUCCACUCACCAAUUCCCUCUUCAGUUGAUCUGUCUGCAGUUUAGCUAGUCACUCCCAUCUCAGUCUCUCUCUGCCUCUCCACACUCUCUCCACCAGCCUCUUACUUGCCUUUUCUCCUCAGCUCCUCCAGAGAAGCUGGGCUUUCUGCCCUGAGGCCUUUGUAUGUGCUGUUAGCUCUGCCUGGCAGAUCGCUGUCACCCAGCCUCCUUCUGGCUGCUGCUUCCUGUUCAUUCCUUGUUCUCAGCGACCUUACCCUGAGCCUCUGGGAAACUAGCUGGAUGAGAUGCUUCCUACUUCACUUGUUCAAGUCCCCUCUGAUUUCAUUUAGGUGACACUCCUCUGCCAUUCAUGGGCAUUUUUUCUCAAAAUUUUAUUUUCCUCUUGGUGGGAAAUUCCUGAAGGGCUACGCCUACCCCGUCUUCCCAGCACCUGGCUCAGAGAUGCGCACCUAGCAGCCUCUUCAAAGGAGGAUGACAUUUAUGGAUACAAGACUGAAAUCAGCCAACAGAGUCCGGCUGAAGGGUCACAUGCAGCUCCAUGAUGUCACCUGUGUCAUCUCCCUCGAGCCAAUAUCCUGACCUUUCCCAUCCAGCAGCUUCAUUCUCUCUACACACACAUCAGCAUAUUUUUGCCAUUUAAACACCAACUGAGACCGGCCAUGGGAGCUGUGUUCCAGUCCCGGGGGAGGAAGUCCGACUGGUGCACCCCCAUCCAGUCUACCUGUGGUGGGGUGACUGAGCACUAAGCCCACUCUCCACUCCGUCAGUAUUUCUGCCCAUCCCUGCUUCUAAGAUCGCCAUUCAACGGUCACCGUGCUGAGGCAGGAUCUGGAGAAGCUGUCACCCAGCUGGCUUCUACUGUUUUCUUUUUCCUACUGGCUUUUGUUUCCAGUUUUUGGGGUCCUCAGCUCUGGGUAAAGUCCUGCUUAACACCAAAUGGGAGCCUGUGUGCUCCAGGAAGCGGAGAGAGGACUGAGGAAGGGGACCCUCAUGUCAUCUUUGAUUCCUCUGGACCACAUGUGCUGAGGGCAUCCUGGAAGUGACAAGAAGUGGAUGGGAAAAUGGUGCUCUCUUGGCUCAGUGCUUCUCAAUCACGCCUGAAAAUUCCUCUGAAAAGGAUUCCUCUGAAAAUUCUGGCUGGCUUUGGUGGAGCUGGGUUCAGGCAUCACAGAAUUUUAGUACCACCCUGGUGAUUCUAGUGUGUAUCCAGGAUUGGGAACGUCUAUCUUGGGCUUCCUUGGUGGCUCAGUAGUAAGGAAUCUGCCUGCUAAUGCAGGAGACACGGGUUGACAUGGGUUUGAUCCUUGGGUGGGGAAGAUCCCCUGGAGAAGGAAAGGCAAUCCACUCCAGGAUUCUUGCCUAAAAAACCUCAUGGACAGAAAAGCCUGGUGGGCUACAGUCCAUGGUGUCGCAGAGUUGGACACAACUUAGCGGCUGAACAGCAACAUCUUGGCUCUGGUUUGUGGUUGUGAAAGAGAGUUAGAAAUGCCAGGGUGAGCUCCAAGGGUCAGCUCCCAGAGAAAAUGGCUUGUCUUUUUGUCUGUCUCUUGCUCCUUUAUCGUUUGACUUCCCAUGAACUCCCGUGUGGCAUCUGUUUUCUACUGCCACCGUGUAUCGGUGGCAUCAACGCAUGAAUUGCACUCUAUGUCCAGUUUUUGAGGAUCUUCUAACGAAGGGUGUGUAAGGCAGUUUAGGGGGCUGGAGCAGUUCUGCAUUGAUGCCAGGUC
This is a long non-coding RNA of Bos taurus (domestic cattle), 1858 nucleotides long. NCBI's taxonomy places the organism in Eukaryota, Metazoa, Chordata, Mammalia, Artiodactyla, Bovidae. The record is from Ensembl.